Molecule: ribosomal RNA, 1695 nt
Filed under: Campylobacter upsaliensis
Lineage: Bacteria; Pseudomonadati; Campylobacterota; Epsilonproteobacteria; Campylobacterales; Campylobacteraceae
Description: partial 23S ribosomal RNA
Rfam family: Bacterial large subunit ribosomal RNA
Source: RNAcentral
AUUUGCGUCGAAGGUAUACCGACAAGGAGUGCUGGAGCGAAUAGAAGUGAGCAUGCAGGCAUGAGUAGCGAUAAUUAAUGUGAGAAUCAUUAACGCCGUAAACCCAAGGUUUCCUACGCGAUGCUCGUCAUCGUAGGGUUAGUCGGGUCCUAAGCUGAGUCCGAAAGGGGUAAGCGAUGGCAAAUAGGUUAAUAUUCCUAUACCAACAUUAGUGUGCGAUGGAAGGACGCUUAGGGCUAAGGGGGCUAGCGGAUGGAAGUGCUAGUCUAAGGUCGUAGGAGGUUAUACAGGCAAAUCCGUAUAACAAUACUCCGAGAACUGAAAGGCUUUUUGAAGUCUUCGGAUGGAAAGAAGAACCCCUGAUGCCGUCGAGCCAAGAAAAGUUUCUAAGUUUAGCUAAUGUUGCCCGUACCGUAAACCGACACAGGUGGGUGGGAUGAGUAUUCUAAGGCGCGUGGAAGAACUCUCUUUAAGGAACUCUGCAAAAUAGCACCGUAUCUUCGGUAUAAGGUGUGCCUCCCUUUGUAUUAGAAUUCACUUCGAAAGCAAAGAAGGUUACAACAAAGAGUCCCUCCCGACUGUUUACCAAAAACACAGCACUCUGCUAACUCGUAAGAGGAUGUAUAGGGUGUGACGCCUGCCCGGUGCUCGAAGGUUAAUUGAUGGGGUUAGCAUUAGCGAAGCUCUUGAUCGAAGCCCGAGUAAACGGCGGCCGUAACUAUAACGGUCCUAAGGUAGCGAAAUUCCUUGUCGGUUAAAUACCGACCUGCAUGAAUGGCGUAACGAGAUGGGAGCUGUCUCAAAGAGGGAUCCAGUGAAAUUGUAGUGGAGGUGAAAAUUCCUCCUACCCGCGGCAAGACGGAAAGACCCCGUGGACCUUUACUACAGCUUGACACUGCUAUUUGGAUAAGAAUGUGCAGGAUAGGUGGGAGGCUUUGAGUAUAUGACGCCAGUUGUAUAUGAGCCAUUGUUGAGAUACCACUCUUUCUUAUUUGGGUAGCUAACCAGCUUGAGUUAUCCUCAAGUGGGACAAUGUCUGGUGGGUAGUUUGACUGGGGCGGUCGCCUCCCAAAUAAUAACGGAGGCUUACAAAGGUUGGCUCAUAGCGGUUGGAAAUCGCUAGUAGAGUAUAAAGGUAUAAGCCAGCUUAACUGCAAGACAUACAAGUCAAGCAGAGACGAAAGUCGGUCUUAGUGAUCCGGUGGUUCUGUGUGGAAGGGCCAUCGCUCAAAGGAUAAAAGGUACCCCGGGGAUAACAGGCUGAUCUCCCCCAAGAGCUCACAUCGACGGGGAGGUUUGGCACCUCGAUGUCGGCUCAUCGCAUCCUGGGGCUGGAGCAGGUCCCAAGGGUAUGGCUGUUCGCCAUUUAAAGCGGUACGCGAGCUGGGUUCAGAACGUCGUGAGACAGUUCGGUCCCUAUCUGCCGUGGGCGUAAGAAGAUUGAAGAGAUUUGACCCUAGUACGAGAGGACCGGGUUGAACAAACCACUGGUGUAGCUGUUGUUCUGCCAAGAGCAUCGCAGCGUAGCUAAGUUUGGAAAGGAUAAACGCUGAAAGCAUCUAAGCGUGAAGCCAACUCUAAGAUGAAUCUUCUCUAAGCUCUCUAGAAGACUACUAGUUUGAUAGGCUGGGUGUGUAAUGGAUGAAAGUCCUUUAGCUGACCAGUACUAAUAGAGCGUUUGGCUUAUCUUAUAAA